Molecule: ribosomal RNA, 1183 nt
Filed under: uncultured fungus
Lineage: Eukaryota; Fungi
Description: eukaryotic LSU rRNA
Rfam family: Eukaryotic large subunit ribosomal RNA (bases 537-1183)
Source: RNAcentral
CUUGGUCAUUUAGAGGAAGUAAAAGUCGUAACAAGGUUUCCGUAGGUGAACCUGCGGAAGGAUCAUUACAGAGUUCAUGCCCUCACGGGUAGAUCUCCCACCCUUGAAUACUAUACCUUAGUUGCUUUGGCAGGCCGUGGAAACGCCAUGGGCUUCGGCUUGUGUGUGCCUGCCAGAGGAAACAAACUCUGUUUUUAGUGAUGUCUGAGUACUAUAUAAUAGUUAAAACUUUCAACAACGGAUCUCUUGGUUCUGGCAUCGAUGAAGAACGCAGCGAAAUGCGAUAAGUAAUGUGAAUUGCAGAAUUCAGUGAAUCAUCGAAUCUUUGAACGCACAUUGCGCCCCGUGGUAUUCCGCGGGGCAUGCCUGUUCGAGCGUCAUUUCAACCCCUCAAGCCUCGGCUUGGUCUUGGAGCGUGCGAGUUCUCUCGCAGCCCCUAAACUCAGUGGCGGUGCUAUUGAGCUCUGAGCGUAGUAAAUCUCCUCGCUAUAGAGUCUCGGUGGUUACUUGCCAACAACCCCCAAUUUUUAUCAGGUUGACCUCGGAUCAGGUAGGGAUACCCGCUGAACUUAAGCAUAUCAAUAAGCGGAGGAAAAGAAACCAACAGGGAUUACCUCAGUAACGGCGAGUGAAGCGGUAACAGCUCAAAUUUGAAAUCUGCCGCAAGGCCGAGUUGUAAUUUGUAGAAGAUGCUUUGGGUAUGGCCCCGGUCUAAGUUCGUUGGAACACGACGUCAUAGAGGGUGAGAAUCCCGUAUGUGACUGGGUGCUUUUGCCUGUGUAAAGCUCUUUCGACGAGUCGAGUUGUUUGGGAAUGCAGCUCAAAAUGGGUGGUAUAUUUCAUCUAAAGCUAAAUAUUGGCCAGAGACCGAUAGCGCACAAGUAGAGUGAUCGAAAGAUGAAAAGCACUUUGGAAAGAGAGUUAAACAGUACGUGAAAUUGUUGAAAGGGAAGCGCUUGCAACCAGACUUGCACGCUGUUGAUCAUCCAGGCUUCUGUGUGGUGCACUCAACUGCGUUCAGGCCAGCAUCGGUUUUGGUGGUGGGAUAAAGGCCUUGGGAAUGUAGCUUCUUUCGGGGAGUGUUAUAGCCCUCGGUGCAAUGCCGCCUACCGGGACCGAGGACCGCGCUUCGGCUAGGAUGCUGGCGUAAUGGUUGUAAGCGACCCGUCUUGAAACACGGACC